This 484-nucleotide ribosomal RNA is filed under the name uncultured bacterium. Its description in RNAcentral is "bacterial SSU rRNA". It matches the Rfam family "Bacterial small subunit ribosomal RNA", at positions 29 to 507 of the family's 1533-position model. The record is from RNAcentral.
AUUGAACGCUGGCGGCAUGCUUUACACAUGCAAGUCGAACGGCAGCACGGGCUUCGGCCUGGUGGCGAGUGGCGAACGGGUGAGUAAUGCAUCGGAACGUACCGUGUAAUGGGGGAUAACGUAGCGAAAGUUACGCUAAUACCGCAUACGCCCUGAGGGGGAAAGCGGGGGAUCGUAAGACCUCGCGUUAUACGAGCGGCCGAUGUCGGAUUAGCUAGUUGGUGGGGUAAAGGCCUACCAAGGCGACGAUCCGUAGCGGGUCUGAGAGGAUGAUCCGCCACACUGGGACUGAGACACGGCCCAGACUCCUACGGGAGGCAGCAGUGGGGAAUUUUGGACAAUGGGCGCAAGCCUGAUCCAGCCAUGCCGCGUGAGUGAAGAAGGCCUUCGGGUUGUAAAGCUCUUUCAGACGGAAAGAAAUCGCGCGCUCUAACAUAGCGUGUGGAUGACGGUACCGUAAGAAGAAGCACCGGCUAACUACGUG